Molecule: ribosomal RNA, 253 nt
Filed under: uncultured bacterium
Lineage: Bacteria
Description: partial 16S ribosomal RNA
Rfam family: Bacterial small subunit ribosomal RNA
Source: RNAcentral
GACAGAGGGUGCAAACGUUGCUCGGAAUUACUGGGCGUAAAGCGCGUGUAGGCUGACCGGAAAGUCGGGCGUGAAAGCCCUGUGCUCAACCCAGGAACUGCACUCGAAACUCCCGGUCUAGAGUGGUGGAGAGGGAAGUGGAAUUCCUGGUGUAGAGGUGAAAUUCGUAGAUAUCAGGAGGAACACCAGUGGCGAAGGCGGCUUCCUGGACACCAACUGACGCUGAGGAGCGAAAGCGUGGGGAGCGAACAGG